AGAGUUUGAUCAUGGCUCAGGACGGACGCUGGCGGCGUGCUUAACACAUGCAAGUCGAACGGUGAUCUUGGUGCUUGCACCAGGUGAUCAGUGGCGAACGGGUGAGUAACACGUGAGCAACCUGCCCCCGACUCUGGGAUAACCCCGAGAAAUCGGAGCUAAUACCGGAUACGAGACACACAGGCAUCUGUGGUGUCUGGAAAGGAAUCCGGUCGGGGAUGGGCUCGCGGCCUAUCAGCUAGUUGGUGAGGUAGUGGCUCACCAAGGCGACGACGGGUAGCCGGCCUGAGAGGGCGACCGGCCACACUGGGACUGAGACACGGCCCAGACUCCUACGGGAGGCAGCAGUGGGGAAUAUUGCACAAUGGGCGCAAGCCUGAUGCAGCGACGCCGCGUGGGGGAUGAAGGCCUUCGGGUUGUAAACCCCUUUCAGCAGGGAAGAAGCGAAAGUGACGGUACCUGCAGAAGAAGCGCCGGCUAACUACGUGCCAGCAGCCGCGGUAAUACGUAGGGCGCAAGCGUUGUCCGGAAUUAUUGGGCGUAAAGAGCUCGUAGGUGGUUUGUCGCGUCUGCUGUGAAAACCCGAGGCUCAACCUCGGGCCUGCAGUGGGUACGGGCAGACUAGAGUGCGGUAGGGGAGACUGGAAUUCCUGGUGUAGCGGUGGAAUGCGCAGAUAUCAGGAGGAACACCGAUGGCGAAGGCAGGUCUCUGGGCCGCAACUGACACUGAGGAGCGAAAGCAUGGGGAGCGAACAGGAUUAGAUACCCUAGUAGUCC
Molecule: ribosomal RNA, 777 nt
Filed under: uncultured bacterium
Lineage: Bacteria
Description: bacterial SSU rRNA
Rfam family: Bacterial small subunit ribosomal RNA
Source: RNAcentral